GAACGCUAGCGGCAGGCUUAUACAUGCAAGUCGUGGGGCAGCAUGAGUAGCAAUACUUGAUGGCGACCGGCAAACGGGUGAGGAACACGUACACAACCUUCCUUCAAGCGGGGAAUAGCCCAGAGAAAUUUGGAUUAAUACCCCAUAAUAUAUUUGAUAAGGCAUCUUAUUAAUAUUAGAGCUUCGGCACUUGAUGAUGGGUGUGCGGCUGAUUAGAUAGUUGGCGGGUAACGGCCCACCAAGUCUACGAUCAGUAGCUGAUGUGAGAGCAUGAUCAGCCACACGGGCACUGAGACACGGGCCCGACUCCUACGGGAGGCAGCAGUAAGGAAUAUUGGACAAUGGACGAAAGUCUGAUCCAGCCAUGCCGCGUGAAGGAUUAAGGUCCUCUGGAUUGUAAACUUCUUUUAUAUGGGACGAAAAAGGGCAUUCUUGUUCACUUGACGGUACCAUAUGAAUAAGCACCGGCUAACUCCGUG
This 479-nucleotide ribosomal RNA is filed under the name uncultured bacterium. Its description in RNAcentral is "bacterial SSU rRNA". It matches the Rfam family "Bacterial small subunit ribosomal RNA", at positions 31 to 507 of the family's 1533-position model. The record is from RNAcentral.